UUCCAACAUUCUAAAGUAUUACCCAGCUAUGAAACCAUUCAUGUGUCGCAAAGAGAACAUUGAUAGUGGGCAGCAAAACGUAUUAAGAGUUACCUCCCUUGAUAAUGCGAAGGAGCCGUCUGGCAUAAGGGCUAUUCACUGUACAUCAAUAAAGGAGGUUCCAGCCUGCGUCCCUGAGACAAGGUUUCUCCAUGUGAAUAGAACAGAUUCGUCCGCAUUCAGAAGUUUCCCCACAGUUUCCUCAUGUUGAUGGAACAGAUUUGUCCACAUUCAGAAGCUUCCCGAUAGUAAUGCAGAAGUUCUCCAUGUUGUAGUGGUUGGACAUGUGUUGAAUUGAAUCAUGUUCCAAUAUUACAGCUGGUUAAGUGCUGUAUUAAACGUCAUGACAUCUUCAAUAUGUAAUUCAGGAGCAACAACAUCCACAUCUGAGAACAUCUUGUAUCCUACAGUGAAGAGACAGAUAA
Molecule: long non-coding RNA, 464 nt
Organism: Haliotis rufescens (red abalone)
Lineage: Eukaryota; Metazoa; Mollusca; Gastropoda; Lepetellida; Haliotidae
Exons: 4
Source: RefSeq, a predicted model, not a curated record